GGGCAGAGCAGGAAGCUUUCCUGCAAAGUGGUUGCAUUCAGCUGACUGGUUCUCAGAAAAUCCUUCUGAGAAUUCUAGAAUUAGGCUGGCUCUUCAGAACUGUCUCAAUCUGAGGCUAUUCGACUCAUAUUGGGAUUUACAUCAUCACCCCAAUCCUCAGAUCUUUGGACUCAGAGGGAGGCUCGGGUUUGAUCCCUGGUCAGGGAACUAGAUCUCUCAUGCUGCAACUGAAGAUCUUGCAUGCUGCAAGGAAGAUCCCACACACAGCAAGAAAGAUCCUGCAUGCUGCAACUAAGACUCAGUGCAGCCAAAUUAAAAAAAAAAAAAGAUCCAGCUUCUGCCUGGCGCUCUCAGGACACUUGCCUUGGAACCCAGCUUCUAUGCUGUGUGGGAAGUCAAACCAGAUGUGGAGGCUCAAGUAAAGAGGACUGGAAAGCCUCAGCUGAAAGCCAGCAUCAACUUCCAGAUGCAUGAAUGAGCAAGCUUUUAUAUGGCUCCACUCCCAAGGCCUGGACUUCCAGCUGAAGUCCCAGACACAGUCACCAUGCUUCCCACUAUGCCCUGUUUGAAUUCAUGACCAAUCCCCACACCCCCAAACUACAGGAGAUAAUAAUAGGUGAUUAUUUAAGCCACUAAAUUUUGGAGCAAUUUUUAAAAUAGUAAUAGAUAACUAAUAUGGUCAUCUUGGUUGAGAUGAUAUUUUGCUGAAAGAGAAAACAUAGAAGUAUCUAAGCAUGGAAGUUAAAAAUCUAUUUUCUCAGAAAACGAAAGUGAAAUGGAGCAGGACUCUGUGGUAUUUGCCCCUCCCCACCCCCAAAGUCCUCUGCCCGCCUUAGUCUAUGGGAAAAACUUAGCCAAAGAAUAAGUUUAAUCAGAGAAGUGAGAACAUGCAGCAACAAAGGAAAACAGUCAAAGGAGACGAAAUGAUAAUAAUAUAGUCAUUAAGAAUAGUCAAGGACUUUUAGUUCCUUCUCAAGGGCUAUAGAUAAUUUUCUGAGUCACAUUCUAUGAGCUGCCUUGUAGAUACUAAAACCCCCACCAGGUGGAGAAGUUAAUUACAUGAUGACCAGACGGUAACCAUGAUGUAAGUUGCCACAAUUCUGAGAACUGGCCUCAAGAAAUGGAAACAAACUGACUCUGGAACUGAAGACUAACUGUACUUAUAACAAGAUGACGCUUUUCAGACCACCAAUGACCAACUUCAAGAUGACUGUCUGAUUUGAUUGCAGUUUCUGCAGGUAGCCCUACUCUGCCUACAAAGGCUCUAAAACCUCUUGCCCACUGAUUGUCAGGAGGGGAGUCAGCCUCUGGACAGGCACCCCAGGCAUCCCUACUUCUUACCCCUACUC
Bos taurus (domestic cattle) is the source of this 1349-nucleotide long non-coding RNA. Lineage: Eukaryota; Metazoa; Chordata; Mammalia; Artiodactyla; Bovidae. The record is from Ensembl.